UUGUCCAUCACAAUUCACAACCCCACUCUCGAUCCUCGCCCUCUCGAGACCACCGACCGCUCGUCCUCAUCCCGUCAUCCGUGCCCGCAUCUCCGCAGUCGUCGCCAGUCGCCACCGCUAUCCGAGCUCCCCCCCCCCCCCCUCCAUGCCGCACUAUGGCUCUUGCCUCGAAUCCGCCCACUCCCCACAUCGAGAACAGCCAUCGACGCCGCAAGAGGAGACGCACCCAAGAGAGAGGAGGCGACCAUGAGGGCCAAGGUCCCGAAGCGGGAGGGUUGGUGGGGGAGGAGGAACUAACGAUAGCCAUCGCCAUGGCCACCGACGACGACUGAUAGGACUGCCUCUUCUUCAUCGAUGUGGUAACGACAGAAAUCAAGUAAUGGGGACGGGGCUCUCCAGGCCAUGCGGGUCAAACGACUGGAACACGUCCCCUUAGCCUCCGAACGGGAACCCCGGGCUGGAGCUCUACAGCGAGAAGACCAAGCUUGCUGAAGGGCCGCAGGCUUGGAACAUCUAGAUUUUGUUUUGCUAAGGGGAGCGCUAUGUGAGGGUGGGCAGGUUGCUCAGGUCAAGUGGGUUCACGGCUGCGAGCUUCAUGGAGAGACUAUUGAUAGCAGUUGUGUCCUGCAUCAUUCUUUGAUCAAGAUUGAUGAGGGAAAGAUCAGUAUGCCGAGGAUGGGACCGGGUUGUAGCUUGCGAUGCUAGAUCUGCUCAUCAUGAAACCCAUCAUGACUAAUGCAUUUAUCUGCCAUUUAAGUGUACACCAGAUUAUUUGUAUGUUUGCUGCUUACUAUGCAAAAUGGCAGCUAAAAGAAGCCCUAAAGCAUGCGAGCUGCACCUCUACCGGUUUAGUGGCCAAACUGGCUGUUACUACGUUUCAGGUGUUUUAUCUGUAACUUUUAUUUUGUUCUUUUUCUUGUUACUCACUUAUUUCUGAAUAAUUAAGUAUAUAUGUCACUUAAUUUAGUGCUA
Molecule: non-coding RNA, 972 nt
Organism: Zea mays
Lineage: Eukaryota; Viridiplantae; Streptophyta; Magnoliopsida; Poales; Poaceae
Source: RefSeq